AUUUCUGAACUAAUGUCUUAAAGCCUGUAUUCAUUGUCAUUUGAGGUCACUUAAAGCUCUGUAAUGUUUAGCCAUGCCUAUUGACAACUCUGCCUUAGCCUUCACGUCCUGCUUUUAUAGAUCUUAAAGAUCAACUGAAGCAGGAUAGUUCCAGGUUUUCUCAGGUUUUUUUCUGGCAUGUCUUCAGCCCUUGGCCUGUGCUUGGCCUCUUGGAUUCCCAGAACAGGCAAGAACUUUUAAAAGCCUUCAUUCUCUCAAGUAUCUCCUUCCCAAAACUCUGUCUUCCCAGGUUUGUUUGUCUAUUUUUUCCCCAAAUAAUUACUUCUUGCCUCAGGCAACAGCAGCUAAUUCAUUUUCAUUUAAAUUUCUGACAAAGGUCACCUGAGAAGCUACCUCAUCUCUGGGUAAGAUCAAAAGUAAAUAAAACAAAGGAAAUCCUUUGAGCUAAUCCUUCAAGGAACCACCAGACAAGUCACAGAACACUACUGCAAUUCUUCAAAAAGAAGGUCUGUAUUGUUCCCGUUGGUACCUGCAACCUGCACCAGAAAUGUGGGCUACUGUCUUCAAGGCCACCAUUGAGCUGGGGGGAUUGGAGGGUGGUAACAAGAUGACUUAAAAUACCACAGCGCUAUUUGACAAAAUUCAGCAGCUUUGUUCUUCUUUAAGCUGGAGUGCAGUAACAUGAUGAUAGCUCACUGUAAUCUUGAACUUAUGGGAUCAAGCAAUCCUCCUGUCUCAGCCCCCUAAGAUGGGACUACAGAAAAUGCAAUGUUUCCUGAGACACAUGGAGUAUAAAAUAAUCAAUCCCUUACUUAUAAUAAGCAUAUGAUAUGUUCAAAGACUUUCAAAAUUUUCAAUUGGAAAAAAGCCUAGUAUUUGCUAGUGCUGAUGACACCAGGAAGAUAAGCUUCAAACCUGCCUUUGGAGAGAGUCAAUAGCAGAAUUCUGGAUGACAUGUGACUGGAAGUAAUACUUUUUCUAUCAUGGAUUAUUAAAAACAAUGAAUGCCUCAUGAGAAAGAAAUAACAAUUGAAUUGGUAGAGAACCCUAAUCCCCGUCGCAGGAUGUGUGACAGCGGUGUGGCUCAUUUGUUUGGCCACCAUGCACACUCACCCAUUGUGGGAGGAGGAGCACACAGAUGGGCAGGUGUAGGAACUGGGGCAAAUGCCCCUGGGCUCCAGCACCAUGGCAGUGUCCAGGUGUGGGAGCCUGUGACUCAUGAUGCCCAAGAGGGCAUUUGUUACAGUGUGCUCCUUUAGACUUGCCCUCUGUGGACAGCUUAAGUGUUAACCAGUUCAGUGACCUCUUGGUACCCAGGUCCUUCUCCAGCGUCCAGGAAGAAUCGAGUCUCACACAGACUUGAAGGAUGAUAUGUGAGGGUUUUAUUGAGUGGUGGAGGUGGCUCUCAGUGGGGUGGAUGGGGAGCUGGAAAGGGGAUGGAGUGGAAAGAUGAUUUUCCCCUGAAGCCUGACCAUCCAUCUUCUCUCUGACUGCCCCCAGCCAAACUCCUCUCGGCAUUUAGACAUUCCUUUUCUUCUCAAUGACAUGCAGUUCCGCCUUUCUUCUACUCUUCUGUUCAUCUCACCAUCUGCUUGUGUGCUCAUCUGCUUGUGGAGUCUAGGGAUUAGGGUUUAUAUGUGUACAGGAUAUGCGGGUGUGGCAGGUCAAAUGGCAACUUUUGGGUUCAAAAACAGGAAUUCCUGCUCCAAUUUAGGGUCAUGGGUUUCCAGGCUUGAGAAUAGGGCAUCUUCAGGGAAAUCAUCCUCUUUUUCUCCAUAUUUCCCUGUCUCCUGUCCAUAUCACAAUCAUAUUUUAUAUUUGUGAUUCCAUAUUGUGUAAUAAAUGAAUUGUAAUUUUCUUAUGUGCAAGAUCUCAUUUGAAAGUUACCUCGCUGUAUAGCAUCUACACAGUAGUCCACAGAGCAAAUUAACUCCUCUGUGUAGUGCCCUAUAAGAUUGUGGUAAAUGUGUGUUUGUUGGGGUGUGGUUAUAAAAGAGAGAACAUUUUUUCUCUUUUGGUGCCCAGAAUUGAGCUCAAAAUGUUUCCAACGUGAAAGAUGUUCCCAUCCUUGAGGGUGGGAGACAAAAAUAAGCAAAUUAACAAAAACUUUCAUUAGUCUUUAUUAAGAAAAUAAAUAAUGUAUUGGCUAAAAAGAAUAGUUUAUAUCAUUUCAAAAGUUGAAAUACAAAAAAUGAAUGAUUAUUAAUUUUUAAACUAAUAUUGUAAGUAUGUGAUUACAAAAGGAGCAAUAAACAACAGUAUGUAAUGUAUUGAAUUAAUGAAGCCAUAAUGUAUAGAUAACUUGAAAUGUAAUAAUAAUGUUAUUUAUUAUACAUUGUUAAAUAAAUAUAAAUGUACCUUAUUUGAACUAUU
RNAcentral lists this long non-coding RNA (2373 nucleotides) under Homo sapiens (human). RNAcentral's name for it is "HSALNT0070761". The record is from RNAcentral. Lineage: Eukaryota; Metazoa; Chordata; Mammalia; Primates; Hominidae.